This 492-nucleotide ribosomal RNA is filed under the name uncultured bacterium. RNAcentral describes it as "partial 16S ribosomal RNA". It matches the Rfam family "Bacterial small subunit ribosomal RNA", at positions 29 to 507 of the family's 1533-position model. The record is from RNAcentral.
AGUGAACGCUGGCGGUAGGCCUAACACAUGCAAGUCGAACGGCAGCACAGUAAGAGCUUGCUCUUACGGGUGGCGAGUGGCGGACGGGUGAGGAAUACAUCGGAAUCUACUUUUUCGUGGGGGAUAACGUAGGGAAACUUACGCUAAUACCGCAUACGACCUACGGGUGAAAGCAGGGGAUAUUCGGACCUUGCGCGAAUGAAUGCGCCGAUGUCGGAUUAGCUAGUUGGCGGGUUAAAGGCCCACCAAGGCGACGAUCCUUAGCUGGUCUGAGAGGAUGAUCAGCCACACUGGAACUGAGCCACGGUCCAGACUCCUACGGGAGGCAGCAGUGGGGAAUAUUGGACAAUGGGCGCAAGCCUGAUCCAGCCAUACCGCGUGGGUGAAGAAGGCCUUCGGGUUUUAAAGCCCUUUUGUUGGGAAAGAAAAGCAGCAGGUUAAUACCCCGCUGUUCUGACGGUACCCAAAGAAUAAGCACCGGCUAACUUCGUG